CUUGGUCAUUUAGAGGAAGUAAAAGUCGUAACAAGGUUUCCGUAGGUGAACCUGCGGAAGGAUCAUUACUGAGAACCAUGCCCCUUGGGGUAUAUCUCCCACCCUUUGUUUACAAUACCUUUGUUGCUUUGGCGGGCCCGUCUUAUGACCACUGGCGUUAGCUUGUCUGUGCCUGCCAAAGGCCCUAAAACUCUUUAUUGUAUUGUCAGAGUACUAUAUUAAUAGUUAAAAACUUUCAACAACGGAUCUCUUGGUUCUGGCAUCGAUGAAGAACGCAGCGAAAUGCGAUAAGUAAUGUGAAUUGCAGAAUUCAGUGAAUCAUCGAAUCUUUGAACGCACAUUGCACCCUCUGGCAUUCUGGGGGGUAUGCCUGUUCGAGCGUCAUUACGACCCUCAAGCACUGCUUGGUAUUGGAUGCUACCACCUGGUGCAUCUCAAAAAAAUUGGCAGUGGCACUCAGCUUCUGGUGUAGUAAUUUUUCUCACCUAGGAGCCUUCGAGUGUCUUGCUGCUCAAACCCUCUAAUCAUCACAAAAGGUUGACCUCGGAUCAGGUAGGGAUACCCGCUGAACUUAAGCAUAUCAAUAAGCGGAGGA
RNAcentral lists this ribosomal RNA (595 nucleotides) under uncultured Pezizomycotina. RNAcentral describes it as "eukaryotic LSU rRNA". The stretch from base 231 to 384 matches the Rfam family "5.8S ribosomal RNA". Lineage: Eukaryota; Fungi; Ascomycota. The record is from RNAcentral.